UACGUAGGGGGCAAGCGUUAUCCGGAUUUACUGGGUGUAAAGGGAGCGUAGACGGCGAUGCAAGCCAGAUGUGAAAGCCCGGGGCUCAACCCCGGGACUGCAUUUGGAACUGUGUGGCUGGAGUGUCGGAGAGGCAAGUGGAAUUCCUAGUGUAGCGGUGAAAUGCGUAGAUAUUAGGAGGAACACCGGUGGCGAAAGCGGCUCUCUGGCCUGUAACUGACACUGAGGCUCGAAAGCGUGGGGAGCAAACAGG
This 253-nucleotide ribosomal RNA is filed under the name uncultured bacterium. Its description in RNAcentral is "partial 16S ribosomal RNA". It matches the Rfam family "Bacterial small subunit ribosomal RNA", at positions 524 to 776 of the family's 1533-position model. The record is from RNAcentral.